This 1110-nucleotide long non-coding RNA is filed under the name Anser cygnoides (Swan goose). RNAcentral's name for it is "lncRNA (ENSACDG00005019421.1)". The record is from RNAcentral. Lineage: Eukaryota; Metazoa; Chordata; Aves; Anseriformes; Anatidae.
AUGAAAGCGGGAAGUCGUAGGUGGCAAGACAGACUUAAUGACAAAAACAAACCAGAUAAGGUGCUGGGAAACCACCGCGCUGGCUUUGGUGGUGGCAGCAAACGGGAUUGCUGCAGACAGCGGGUAGCUCAGGGCUGCGACCUGGGGACACGUGCAGGUUGCGCCGUCCUGUCCUUCAGCGCGACCUCCGAGCGAGUCCUGCAGGAUUUCCUCUCCGAGGGGACAGCGCUGGAGCUGGCCUGCACGUGGGAGCUGCGCUGGAGCAUCCCCACCACCGAGCAGGGCCAUGCGGCGCUUGGGGCGGCUCACGAGCUCCUGCCUGGUCCCCGAUCCCCGAUCCCAAAACCACAAAUCUCAGGUGAGCGAUGCGCACAGGCGAGGGGGCAGAGCAGUGAGUGCCCCCUGCACCGCAGCCCACCUUGUCACACUAGGGCAGGAAAUGGCCCUGCAAGCGCUGCAGGCAAGUGGGCUGUGCCGUGCGGCGCUGCGCAAUGCACUGCAGUGCUGUGCUGUCCAGUGCCAUGCAGUGCGGUACUGUGCUGUACCGUGCCGUGCCAUGCCGGGCUGUGCUGUGCAAUGCAGUGCAGUGCCGUGCUGUGCAGUCCUGUGCAGUGCCGUGCCAUGCCAAGCUGUGCAGUGCCGUGCUGUGCCGUGCAAUGCUGUGCCGUGCAAUGCUGUGCUGUGCAAUGCAGGGCAGUGCAGUGCUGUGCAAUGCAGUGCUGUGCUGUGCUGUGCAAUGCAGUGCUGUGCCAUGCCAUGCUGUGCAGUGGCGUGCUGUGCCGUGCAGUGCCGUGCCGUGCAAUGCAGGGCAGUGCAGUGCCGUGCUGUGCCAUGCCAUGCUGUGCUGUGCUGUGCUGUGCUGUGCCGUGCCGUGCCGUGCAGUGCUGUGCUGUGCUGUGCUGUGCUGUGCUGUGCUGUGCCGUGCAGCACCUUUUCCAGUUUUUAAUCCCGGUCCUCACACAACAGCGGGAUCCCGCACAGCACCUCCACUCCGCCACACCAGCUCUGUGGGGGGGGUCCCAGAACCACCCCCCCCACCCCCCCCCUCCCCACUCCCUUCACACUUUCCCCUUUUCCUUCCCCAAAACCACCUCCGGACGGGGCCUUCCC